Molecule: ribosomal RNA, 830 nt
Filed under: Belondira bagongshanensis
Lineage: Eukaryota; Metazoa; Nematoda; Enoplea; Dorylaimida; Belondiridae
Description: eukaryotic LSU rRNA
Rfam family: Eukaryotic large subunit ribosomal RNA
Source: RNAcentral
ACAAGUACCGUGAGGGAAAGUUGAAAAGAACUUUGUAGAGAGAGUUCAAAAGGGCGUGAAACCGCUUAGAACGAAACGGACGGAGCCGUCUGGUGCCUUCGGGAAUCAGUCGUACGAUAAGCGAACGCGCUCGCGGUUACCGUAACGCAAGUACGGCCGCGUCGUUUGUCAGUAGCUUACGUGCGGCGCAUUUCUCGAGGGUUAGCGCCGCGACCGGUACGAACGACCGGCGAAGCGAUCGGAUUGAGGUCGAGACUCGUUAAGUUUCUCGUAACCAGUCUCGUCGUUGUAAGUCGUCGGAUCUAAGUACCGAGCGCCUUGUCUUUAAUAGUACGUCGGCUGUAAAAGCUCGUCGAGUAACGGAUGAUCGGCCUAUUAGCCUGUACCUGCUCGCAGGUGCUAGCGAAUUGGGUCGGUUUUUGAAGUUGCAGGCGACGUAUCGACGUAUAGGCGUCCGCGGCGUCAGCGUCGGUCGCCCGUCCGACCCGUCUUGAAACACGGACCAAGGAGUCUAACAUAUGCGCGAGCUAUCGGGCGGAAAACCCGAAAGCGCAAUAAAAGUAAACGCCGUCCUCGCGUCGGCUAAGGUACGAUCCUAAAUCGCGAAAACGGUUUAGGCGCAGUACUGUCCCGUCUCGACCGCUCGUCGGUAGGGCGGAGAUAGAGUGCAUACGUUGGGACCCGAAAGAUGGUGAACUAUGCCUGAGCAGAGCGAAACCAGAGGAAACUCUGGUGGAGGUUCGUAGCGGUUCUGACGUGCAAAUCGAUCGUCAGACUUGGGUAUAGGGGCGAAAGACUAAUCGAACCAUCUAGUAGCUGGUUCCUUCCGA